AGUGAACGCUGGCGGUAGGCCUAACACAUGCAAGUCGAACGGCAGCACAGUAAGAGCUUGCUCUUACGGGUGGCGAGUGGCGGACGGGUGAGGAAUACAUCGGCAUCUACUUUUUCGUGGGGGAUAACGUAGGGAAACUUACGCUAAUACCGCAUACGACCUACGGGUGAAAGCAGGGGAUCUUCGGACCUUGCGCGAUUGAAUGAGCCGAUGUCGGAUUAGCUAGUUGGCGGGGUAAAGGCCCACCAAGGCGACGAUCCGUAGCUGGUCUGAGAGGAUGAUCAGCCACACUGGAACUGAGACACGGUCCAGACUCCUACGGGAGGCAGCAGUUGGGAAUAUUGGACAAUGGGCGCAAGCCUGAUCCAGCCAUACCGCGUGGGUGAAGGAGGCCUUCGGGUUGUAAAGCCCUUUUGUUGGGGAAGAAAAGCAGCAGGUUUAUACCCCGCUGUUCUGACGGUACCCAAAAAAUAAGCACCGGCUAACUUCGUG
Molecule: ribosomal RNA, 492 nt
Filed under: uncultured bacterium
Lineage: Bacteria
Description: partial 16S ribosomal RNA
Rfam family: Bacterial small subunit ribosomal RNA
Source: RNAcentral